AGGAGUUCGCGAUAGAUCGCAAGCUGAUUUCUGUAGACCGGCGCUAUCUCUUCGGGCGUCUCAGGGAUUUC
RNAcentral lists this small RNA (71 nucleotides) under Sinorhizobium meliloti 2011. RNAcentral's name for it is "putative ncRNA". Lineage: Bacteria; Pseudomonadati; Pseudomonadota; Alphaproteobacteria; Hyphomicrobiales; Rhizobiaceae. The record is from RNAcentral.